GAUGAACGCUGGCGGCGUGCCUAAUACAUGCAAGUCGAGCGAACGGACGAGAAGCUUGCUUUUCUGAUGUUAGCGGCGGACGGGUGAGUAACACGUGGAUAACCUACCUAUAAGACUGGGAUAACUUUGGGAAACCGGAGCUAAUACCGGAUAAUAUUUUGAACCGCAUGGUUCAAAAGUGAAAGACGGUCUCGCUGUCACUUAUAGAUGGAUCCGCGCUGCAUUAGCUAGUUGGUAAGGUAACGGCUUACCAAGGCAACGAUGCAUAGCCGACCUGAGAGGGUGAUCGGCCACACUGGAACUGAGACACGGUCCAGACUCCUACGGGAGGCAGCAGUAGGGAAUCUUCCGCAAUGGGCGAAAGCCUGACGGAGCAACGCCGCGUGAGUGAUGAAGGUCUUCGGAUCGUAAAACUCUGUUAUUAGGGAAGAACAUAUGUGUAAGUAACUGUGCACAUCUUGACGGUACCUAAUCAGAAAGCCACGGCUAACUACGUG
This 497-nucleotide ribosomal RNA is filed under the name uncultured bacterium. Its description in RNAcentral is "partial 16S ribosomal RNA". It matches the Rfam family "Bacterial small subunit ribosomal RNA", at positions 28 to 507 of the family's 1533-position model. The record is from RNAcentral.